Thalassophryne amazonica is the source of this 77-nucleotide long non-coding RNA. RefSeq lists it as uncharacterized. Lineage: Eukaryota; Metazoa; Chordata; Actinopteri; Batrachoidiformes; Batrachoididae. The record is from RefSeq and is a predicted model, not a curated record. The transcript has 3 exons.
ACUGUUGCCAAUGAAAAAUCUUUUGCCACUUGUAAGUCAUUUAAAACUGAUGCAAUAGUUAAAUCAUAUAAUUUGCA